Molecule: ribosomal RNA, 492 nt
Filed under: uncultured bacterium
Lineage: Bacteria
Description: partial 16S ribosomal RNA
Rfam family: Bacterial small subunit ribosomal RNA
Source: RNAcentral
AGUGAACGCUGGCGGUAGGCCUAACACAUGCAAGUCGAACGGCAGCACAGUAAGAGCUUGCUCUUACGGGUGGCGAGUGGCGGACGGGUGAGGAAUACAUCGGAAUCUACUUUUUCGUGGGGGAUAACGUAGGGAAACUUACGCUAAUACCGCAUACGACCUACGGGUGAAAGCAGGGGAUCUUCGGACCUUGCGCGAUUGAAUGAGCCGAUGUCGGAUUAGCUAGUUGGCGGGGUAAAGGCGCACCAAGGCGACGAUCCGUAGCUGGUCUGAGAGGAUGAUCAGCCACACUGGAACUGAGAAACGGUCCAGACUCCUACGGGAGGCAGCAGUCGGGAAUACUGGACGAUGGGCGCAAGCCUGAUCCAGCCAUACCGCGUGAGUGAAGAAGGACUUCGGGUUGUAAAGCCCUUUUGUUGGGAAAGAAAAGCAGCAGGUUAAUCCCCCGCUGUUCUGACGGUACCCAAAGAAUAAGCACCGGCUAACUUCGUG